This is a long non-coding RNA of Oncorhynchus keta (chum salmon), 187 nucleotides long. RefSeq lists it as uncharacterized. The transcript has 3 exons. Lineage: Eukaryota; Metazoa; Chordata; Actinopteri; Salmoniformes; Salmonidae. The record is from RefSeq and is a predicted model, not a curated record.
GACACUAUACUAUACCCUCCCCACAGGUAGACACUACACUACCCUACCCACAGGUAGACACUAUACUAUACCCUACCCACAGGUAGAUACUAUACUAUACCCUACCCACAGGUAGACACUAUACUAUACCCUACCCACAGGUAGACACUAUACUAUACCCUACCCACAGGUAGACACUAUACUAUAC